This 350-nucleotide unclassified non-coding RNA is filed under the name Pseudoalteromonas lipolytica. RNAcentral describes it as "Long range pseudoknot". Lineage: Bacteria; Pseudomonadati; Pseudomonadota; Gammaproteobacteria; Alteromonadales; Pseudoalteromonadaceae. The record is from RNAcentral.
ACGGAUGAAGGUGAUUACCAGGUUAAGCUUCGCAAUUUGCGUAAGUUCUUAGAAGCGGGUGAUAAAGCUAAAAUUACUAUUCGUUUCCGUGGUCGUGAAAUGGCUCACCAAGAAAUUGGUAUUGAAUUAUUAAAUCGUGUUAAAGCUGAUUUGGAAGAUGUUUCACAAGUUGAAUCUUUCCCAAAUCGUGUUGAAGGUCGCCAAAUGGUUAUGAUGAUGGCACCUAUUGCUAAAAAGCAAUAAACAAGCGAUAAUACGCACCGAAUUUAUCUCAGGUCAUCAAGUAACAGCUUGCUGUUCACCUGAAAUAACCGGUUUAAGUAAAGUUGCAGUGCAUUAGUACUGGGCUU